RNA transcript from Beta vulgaris subsp. vulgaris (sugar beet), 1752 nucleotides. It is a transcript of the gene named probable protein phosphatase 2C 55, with no coding region annotated. The transcript is spliced from 7 exons. The record is from RefSeq and is a predicted model, not a curated record. NCBI's taxonomy places the organism in Eukaryota, Viridiplantae, Streptophyta, Magnoliopsida, Caryophyllales, Amaranthaceae.
ACAUUCUAAUUAAACACCUUUCACACCUAGUAAAAGUCUCCUUAAUAACUCCCGCUUUUAAUCUGUCAAACCAUUCAUUUUUGUGUUCUUCUCUUCGCGCGCUAUUUUUUGGGGGGUUUCUCCUUCAUGUGGUCUUAAUCUCGCCUUCUGGUAAAAUUUGAGGGUCGUGUUGCGAUUUUUAGAGUUCGGAAAAUUAGGGAAAUCAAGAAUAUCUUGUUCGAUUUUAGGGUUCGAAAAAUUGGAGAAAUCAAGAAUCUUAUACUGAGUAGUCUCUUGGAAUCCAUGGAACUUAAGCCCGAAAUUCUUGACGAUUUCAUUCGCCAAUGCUGCCGGUGAUGGGGUAAGGAACUUCUUUGGGAAACCUCAGUUGUUGCAAAUCUUUAAUAAGCUCGAUGAAGAUGGGUGCAUCAUUGAGCAAUCGACAUCUGCUGAUGUAGCUGCCGAGGAUACUAUGAUUUUGCUGAUUUCUGACAAUUUCCCCGAUCAUUUAAUCUAUGGCGAGGAAAAUAGAGAUAAUGCUGAUUAUGUCUGGGUUCUCGACUCGAUUGACGGGACUACCAGCUUCAAAAACGAUUUUGGGAAUUAUUGACCAGCCAAUACUACGCAGAAGAUGGGUUGGAGUGCAGGGAAGGAAAACUACGAUGGAUGGUGUGCCUGUGCAGACCCGUCCUUGUGAGCAUCUGUCGUGAGCAACUCUGAGUAUCCAUCUGCGUUAUCACAACUCCUUCCAUUUUUUUAUAUGAUUAAAAUUAUUUAUUAGAACUUAAUUAAAAGCACCAAACGAUGUUCUGUAGAGGAAACAACUCUUUUUCAAAACUAUUAUUCUGAUCAGCUUGUUUCCAGUUUGAUAUCUUGUGGCAUUUUGUCUAACACUUGCUUUAUUGUGAAUCACUCCAUGCCUCCAUGACUUGUUUGACCAUGACUUUAUCAUAGCAAAGCUUUAAUUGCCUGUAGAGUGUAGAGUGCAUUUGCAGAAUACAAUUUGGUUAAAAAAAUUAGUUUGACAAUGAGAAUUGACAAACCAAUGUAAUUCAAAUAUUUUAGUGAUGAUGGAAUGGAUGGACGGAUAGAUUGUGGAAUUAUGAGAUAGCAUGUUUUAAUUGAUUACUCUAUGGAGCUUUUAUCAUAUUUAUAUUCUGCUACAUGGUAUGAUUUAUUUUCUUUGAUUUAUGUUCUUUUUAUCUGUCUUUUUUUCUUUUUUGCAUUAUCAAUCAUCAUCAGCCACAUGCUUUAAGCUGUAGAGCCAUAUUAACAUCCUGUGUGAUUCUUGCGAAACUUGUUGGCUAUGAGAGAGUACCAUUUUACUGUUGAUUUCAUCAUGAGCAACCAAUUUUGCAGCUGAGCCGACCUUGUUGUAAGUGAAGAUGGAAAGUUGAGCUGUGGAUACUCAAGUUUCCGGGGGAAGAGAGCUAGCAUGGAAGAUUUUUUUGAUGUCAAAAUGUCCAAAAUGAAUGGGAAGACUGUCUGCCUCUUUGGAAUAUUUGAUGGUCAUGGUGGUUCUCGUGCAGCGGAAUAUCUGAAGCAACGUCUAUUUGAAAAUCUCCUGAAACAUCCACAAUUUAUGGGGGACACAAAAGUGGCUAGAACAUACAAUUGUCUGUUUUAUUUGGCUUCUGCAUCUUUUAGAUUUUGAGAAGGCACCUUUGCUGAUUUCAGUUGUGUUUUUUUUAUUGGUUGUGCUGGUUGAUUUGGAUGUGAUUGUUUAAUACCUUUUGCCAUUGUGUGAUAUAAUGUGUAACAUAUAAUUUUUGA